UGCAGUCGAGCGAAUGACGAGGAGCUUGCUCCUCUGAUUUAGCGGCGGACGGGUGAGUAACACGUGGGUAACCUGCCUGUAAGACGGGGAUAACUCCGGGAAACCGGAGCUAAUACCGGAUGAUAACGAGAAGCGCCUGCUUCUUUUUUGAAAGUCGGUUUCGGCUGACGCUUACAGAUGGGCCCGCGGCGCAUUAGCUGGUUGGUGAGGUAACGGCUCACCAAGGCGACGAUGCGUAGCCGACCUGAGAGGGUGAUCGGCCACACUGGGACUGAGACACGGCCCAGACUCCUACGGGAGGCAGCAGUAGGGAAUCUUCGGCAAUGGACGAAAGUCUGACCGAGCAACGCCGCGUGAGCGAUGAAGGCCUUCGGGUCGUAAAGCUCUGUUGUCAGAGAAGAACAAGUACCGGAGUAACUGCCGGUACCUUGACGGUACCUGACCAGAAAGCCACGGCUAACUACGUGCCAGCAGCCGCGGUAAUACGUAGGUGGCAAGCGUUAUCCGGAAUUAUUGGGCGUAAAGCGCGCGCAGGCGGUCUUUUAAGUCUGAUGUGAAAGCCCACGGCUCAACCGUGGAGGGUCAUUGGAAACUGGGAGACUUGAGUGCAGGAGAGAAAAGUGGAAUUCCACGUGUAGCGGUGAAAUGCGUAGAGAUGUGGAGGAACACCAGUGGCGAAGGCGGCUUUUUGGCCUGUAACUGACGCUGAGGCGCGAAAGCGUGGGGAG
Molecule: ribosomal RNA, 728 nt
Filed under: Fictibacillus enclensis
Lineage: Bacteria; Bacillati; Bacillota; Bacilli; Caryophanales; Fictibacillaceae
Description: bacterial SSU rRNA
Rfam family: Bacterial small subunit ribosomal RNA
Source: RNAcentral